CCUACGGGAGGCAGCAGUGAGGAAUAUUGGUCAAUGGACGAGAGUCUGAACCAGCCAAGUAGCGUGAAGGAUGACUGCCCUAUGGGUUGUAACCUUCUUUUAUAAAGGAAUAAAACGAGGCACGUGUGCCUUUUUGCAUGUACUUUAUGAAUAAGGAUCGGCUAACUCCGUGCCAUCAGCCGCGGUAAUACGGAGGAUCCGAGCGUUAUCCGGAUUUAUUGGGUUUAAAGUGAGCGUAGAUGGGUUGUUAAGUCAGUUGUGAAAGUUUGCGGCUCAACCGUAAAAUUGCAAUUGAUACUGGCAGUCUUGAGUACAGGUGAGGUAGGCGGAAUUCGAGGUGUAGGAGUGAAAUGCUUAGAUAUCACGAAGAACCCCGAUGGCGAAGGCAGCUUACUAAACUGUGACUGACAUUGAUGCGCGAAAGUGUGGGUAGCAAACAGGAUUAGAUACCCGAGUAGUC
Molecule: ribosomal RNA, 460 nt
Filed under: uncultured bacterium
Lineage: Bacteria
Description: partial 16S ribosomal RNA
Rfam family: Bacterial small subunit ribosomal RNA
Source: RNAcentral